GGAGGAAUACCCAAGUGGCUGAAGGGGCUUGCCUCGAAAGCAAGAAGGUCGUUCAUAAACGGCGCAGGAGUUCAAAUCUCCUUUCCUCCGCCA
RNAcentral lists this transfer RNA (93 nucleotides) under Bacilli bacterium. Its description in RNAcentral is "tRNA-Ser". It matches the Rfam family "tRNA". Rfam says of the family: Transfer RNA (tRNA) molecules are approximately 80 nucleotides in length. Their secondary structure includes four short double-helical elements and three loops (D, anti-codon, and T loops). Lineage: Bacteria; Bacillati; Bacillota; Bacilli. The record is from RNAcentral.